Long non-coding RNA from Rattus rattus (black rat), 995 nucleotides. RefSeq lists it as uncharacterized. NCBI's taxonomy places the organism in Eukaryota, Metazoa, Chordata, Mammalia, Rodentia, Muridae. The transcript is spliced from 3 exons. The record is from RefSeq and is a predicted model, not a curated record.
GGCUGUGGGAUGCAGGCCGGGAGAGGCGAAGGGAAGAGGGUGCUGGAUGCCCGUGGCCCCCGAUCUCGGUGUCCUAGUGCUCGGUUGUGCCAUCCUCUGCAACCCCAAUUGUCCCGGUCCAAGUCUGCGGAAUGAAGAGUCCAGGUUGGAAGCCGAUUCAAGCCCCGAUUCCGUCCUCUUUCCCUACCAAGGAUGGCUUCAGGCCCCCGAAGUUGGUGGGUUUGGACUUCUCUUUUUUUGCCUUGAGAACCUGUGUGUUAGUGCUCACUGGCCUGCAAAGGAAUCUGUACAGAGCGCCAUGAAUUAGAGGAUGGAGAAUGAGUGCUUGGAGAUGCCUGAGGUACGGUCCUUACCCGCGUGGCAUGUGGAGGCUGGUAACGCUCUGUCCCAGUUUCUAGGAGCCCAGUGAGGUGAGAAAACAGGGUUGAAAACUUCACGGAGGAUUCAUCAUUUCUGCCCUGAAUUGGAAUCAAUUCCUUACUGACUUAUUACUGUAUUGAAAGUGUUUUAAUUAAUCAGGGUAUUUGUUUGGGUAAGACCUUUGUUUUGGUAAGGUUUUAUAAGAGCUUCUGAAUGACCAUAUACUGCUCUUCUGGUAUAUGUGAGCUUCAAUAUUUUUAAAUUCACAGGAUGGACUAUCUAUUUUACAACUUAGUAAAGUUAUAUCAUCUUUAUGGUGCCAGAGAAUAUGCUCUCAAUUGUUAGCAUGAAUCACAGUAUUACACCAGGCACUUGCAAAUUAUUUUCAUUCGUCCUGCAUUAAUCAUUUUUCAAAAGCAGUUUCUUCACUAGCCUGUGCAUCCACUGUCAUAAAUCUUCCUAAACAAGUAAUGUUGUUUUUGGCAAAUGGAUAUUUCAUACAAGGCAGCAUCUGUGUUAGAACAGGAUUUUUGUUCUAAUUAUUGAAUUUGUCUUUUUAAAAAGCAAAACUUGAAUCAAUACGGAAAAACUUCAAGAAGUCAAAGGUGAUCUGAAUAAAAAUUUAUUUAAACUCC